This 301-nucleotide ribosomal RNA is filed under the name uncultured bacterium. RNAcentral's name for it is "partial 16S ribosomal RNA". It matches the Rfam family "Bacterial small subunit ribosomal RNA", at positions 509 to 807 of the family's 1533-position model. The record is from RNAcentral.
CAGUCGCCGCGGUAAAACGGAGGGUGCAAGCGUUAAUCGGAAUUACUGGGCGUAAAGCGUGCGUAGGUGGUGGUUUAAGUCCGUUGUGAAAGCCCUGGGCUCAACCUGGGAACUGCAGUUGAUACUGGGUCACUAGAGUGUGGUAGAGGAUAGUGGAAUUUCCGGUGUAGCAGUGAAAUGCGUAGAGAUCGGAAGGAACAUCAGUGGCGAAGGCGACUAUCUGGGCCAACACUGACACUGAGGCACGAAAGCGUGGGGAGCAAACAGGAUUAGAUACCCCCGUAGUCCCUGUCUCUUAUAC